UACGUAGGGUGCGAGCGUUAAUCGGAAUUACUGGGCGUAAAGCGCACGUAGGCGGCUUUGUAAGUUAGAGGUGAAAGCCCGGGGCUCAACCCCGGAAUUGCCUUUAAGACUGCAUCGCUUGAAUUGUGGAGAGGUGAGUGGAAUUCCGAGUGUAGAGGUGAAAUUCGUAGAUAUUCGGAAGAACACCAGUGGCGAAGGCGACUCACUGGACACAUAUUGACGCUGAGGUGCGAAAGCGUGGGGAGCAAACAGG
This 253-nucleotide ribosomal RNA is filed under the name uncultured bacterium. RNAcentral describes it as "partial 16S ribosomal RNA". It matches the Rfam family "Bacterial small subunit ribosomal RNA", at positions 524 to 776 of the family's 1533-position model. The record is from RNAcentral.